This 208-nucleotide ribosomal RNA is filed under the name uncultured bacterium. Its description in RNAcentral is "partial 16S ribosomal RNA". It matches the Rfam family "Bacterial small subunit ribosomal RNA", at positions 1285 to 1500 of the family's 1533-position model. The record is from RNAcentral.
GUCUCAGUUCGGAUUGGAGUCUGNAACCCGACUCCAUGAAGCUGGAUUCGCUAGUAAUCGCGCAUCAGCCACGGCGCGGUGAAUACGUUCCCGGGCCUUGUACACACCGCCCGUCAAGCCAUGGGAGCCGGGGGUACCUGAAGUGCGUGACCGCAAGGAGCGCCCUAAGGUAAAACCGGUGACUGGGGCUAAGUCGUAACAAGGUAAC